UCGGGAAUAUUGCGCAAUGGAGGAAACUCUGACGCAGUGACGCCGCGUAUGGGAAGAAGGUUUUCGGAUUGUAAACCAUUUUAGACAAGGAAGAAAAAAGACAGUACUUGUAGAAUAAGCUCCGGCUAACUACGUGCCAGCAGCCGCGGUAAUACGUAGGGAGCAAGCGUUAUCCGGAUUUAUUGGGUGUAAAGGGUGCGUAGACGGGAAGGUAAGUUAGUUGUGAAAUCCCUCGGCUCAACUGAGGAACUGCGACUAAACUGUUUUUCUUGAGUACUGGAGAGGAAAGUGGAAUUCCUAGUGUAGCGGUGAAAUGCGUAGAUAUUAGGAGGAACACCAGUGGCGAAGGCGACUUUCUGGACAGUAACUGACGUUGAGGCACGAAAGUGUGGGGAGCAAACAGGAUUAGAUACC
This 414-nucleotide ribosomal RNA is filed under the name uncultured bacterium. Its description in RNAcentral is "bacterial SSU rRNA". It matches the Rfam family "Bacterial small subunit ribosomal RNA", at positions 355 to 786 of the family's 1533-position model. The record is from RNAcentral.